AGAGUUUGAUCCUGGCUCAGAACGAACGUUGGCGGCGUGGAUUAGGCAUGCAAGUCGUACGGGGUUCGGGGGUAACUCCGAACUUAGUGGCGAACGGGUGAGUAACGCGUGGGAAACCUACCCUCGAGAUUGGGAUAACACUCCCAACGGGGUGCUAAUACCGGAUAAGACCACGGGGUCGCAUGGCUCCGAGGUCAAAGGUGGCCUCUACUUGUAAGCUACCGCUUGAGGAUGGUCCCGCGUCUGAUUAGCUAGUUGGUGGGGUAAAAGCCCACCAAGGCUUCGAUCAGUAGCUGGUCUGAGAGGAUGGUCAGCCACACUGGGACUGAGAUACGGCCCAGACUCCUACGGGAGGCAGCAGUCGAGAGGCUUCGGCAAUGGGGGAAACCCUGACCGAGCGACGCCGCGUGGGCGAUGAAGGCCGUUAGGUUGUAAAGCCCUGUCGAGCGGGAAGAAACGCAGGUGGGCGAACAGUCCAUCUGUCUGACGGUACCGCUAAAGGAAGCUCCGGCCAACUCCGUGCCAGCAGCCGCGGUAAUACGGGGGGAGCGAACGUUGUUCGGAAUUACUGGGCGUAAAGGGCGUGCAGGCGGCCUUGUAAGAGGGAUGUGAAAUGCCCUGGCUCAACCAGGGAACUGCAUCCCAGACUGCAAGGCUUGAGUAUAGGAGAGGAUGGGGGAAUUCCCGGUGUAGCGGUGAAAUGCAUUGAUAUCGGGAGGAACACCAGUGGCGAAGGCGCCCAUCUGGCCUAAUACUGACGCUCAGGCGCGAAAGCUAGGGGAGCAAACAGGAUUAGAUACCCUGGUAGUCCUAGCCGUAAACGGUGGGCACUAGGUGUAGGAGGCAUCGACCCCUCCUGUGCCGCAGCUAACGCAUUAAGUGCCCCGCCUGGGGAGUACGACCGCAAGGUUGAAACUCAAAGGAAUUGACGG
Molecule: ribosomal RNA, 932 nt
Filed under: uncultured Latescibacterota bacterium
Lineage: Bacteria; Pseudomonadati; Candidatus Latescibacterota
Description: bacterial SSU rRNA
Rfam family: Bacterial small subunit ribosomal RNA
Source: RNAcentral